UACAGAGGGUGCGAGCGUUAAUCGGAAUUACUGGGCGUAAAGCGUGCGUAGACGGUAGCGUAAGUCAGAUGUGAAAGCCCCGGGCUCAACCUGGGAAUUGCAUUUGAGACUGCUCUGCUCGGGUGCGGAAGAGGGAAGCGGAAUUUCCGGUGUAGCGGUGAAAUGCGUAGAUAUCGGAAGGAACACCAGUGGCGAAGGCGGGUCUCUGGGCCGAUACUGACGCUGAGGAGCGAAAGCGUGGGGAGCGAACAGG
Molecule: ribosomal RNA, 253 nt
Filed under: uncultured bacterium
Lineage: Bacteria
Description: partial 16S ribosomal RNA
Rfam family: Bacterial small subunit ribosomal RNA
Source: RNAcentral